This 2244-nucleotide long non-coding RNA is filed under the name Castor canadensis (American beaver). RNAcentral's name for it is "lncRNA (ENSCCNG00000025848.1)". The record is from RNAcentral. Lineage: Eukaryota; Metazoa; Chordata; Mammalia; Rodentia; Castoridae.
AGCGCUGAGCCAGAACUGUGCUUGGUCCAUAGGAGGCUGACCAGCGGCAACAGAGCCUGAUUUCUGAGUUAUCGCUGAGGAUGAAACUGACGUGGAGGGUACGGUGAAUGGUGUCACACAAACAAGCACUGGUGGCAGGACCAUGGAUAGCUCCACAGGAAGCAAGGCUAGGCCUGAGGCUGGGGAGGACAAGGAGGGAUUCCUUUCCAAACUUAAGAAAAUGUUUACUUCCUGAUAUCCCAGCUGAGGAAAACGAUCCACUGGAAACUAGGCCAGGAGCAGCAGCCCUUCCUUGUGGCCAGGACCUCAAGACAGGAGAAUCUCAGAGCAGCAGCACUGAACCUCUGCCUAUAGAGGCCUCUGACUGCUUGACAACAGCAAAACCAUAUGAUGACACCUGUACAUGGAGAAAGGUCACGGUGGACAGCUGUGGGCAGUCAAAUGUAGCACCCAAAUGUGGGUGGAAGUUUUCUGUCCACAGGUAGAUGACUUGCCUAUUCUGACUCAGGCAGGGUAAGACACUUGGACUCUCCUUGCAGUGCUAAACUCUAAUUUGGAAUCAAAUAUGGUGGACAUCUUAGUUAAAGAAUUAAAGACCAUGCUUACAGCUUAAAAAUGAAGCCUUAAGCUGCACCAAGUUGUGAAGUGAUUAAUGUUCCUCACAGUAAAACUCCAGAGACUCCAGAAUAAGUCCUUCCUGACAGAUGAUCUUUAGGAGCCAGAAGCUACAAACCCCUCCAGCAUCAUCCUCCCCCCAGCAGGCUCUGUUAAGGCCUCAGUUGCUCCUCUUGUGUUUUUAGUUCCUCAAGGUACCAAACAGCUGGAAAGUGAGUGCUGGGGCCUGCGGAAGCAUACCUGAAGGGUAGACAGUCCUUCUUAUCCCACCUGAGAUGGCUACUUGUCUGUCUGCUGAGUUCUGCUGUAGCAGCCUGGUGUGGCAGGGACUUCUACUCUUCUGUUGAGCUAUUGCCACCAUAGCCAGGCCAGGCAGACUUCAGCUGGUAGGGGUCCUAGAGCUGCUUCAAUUGAGGGCUUUGUUCUCCCCACUUACACUGUUGACAUCUAUUUUCCAAAGUGUGUUUAGAUUGCUCAUUGCUAAGAAUCAUUGUCUUUUCCUGUGUUAAUGUUUGUUUAAGUGAGGAAAGCACAGUGUAAGCUGGUAAAGGCUCCUCACUGUGCACCAGAGCAAAUGGCCUAUCCCCAGCCUCUGCUGAUAGCAUGUUGCAAUGUCCAUGUGUUUCAGGGUCCUUGAGCUAGCAUAAGACAGGUUAAUGAAGAAUAUUUCUUAGUAGUUCCUUUUUGUUUUCCUUUUCAAUUUACAAAAGUAAAGCAUUUAUUAAUGUCUGACUUAAGAAUGUAAAAUGAUUCUGUAUCAAUGUAAAUAAGAUUAUCUACUGCAAAAGAUAUUUAAAACCUUAAUUGUGGUCAUUUCUUUUUUGAAAAAAUUCAAAAGUUCACCUUCUGCAGGUGGCUCUGCAGAGGGUGGCUGGAGAGUCAGCUGCCUUUACCCUCAAGGUCAUGCCUACUCCCCCACCCCCUAGCUUGCUGAAUCCAGGGCACUGACCCACACUGCAUGCUCAGAGCAGGCAGGCAGUAAAUAUUUUAUUGAACAAAACAUUGGGGGAGUAUUCCAAGUUUGCAGAAUGUCACUGUUGAGCCUUUUUUAUCCAUCAGCUCUUUCCCAAUCUUUUCUCCACCCAGUCCAGUGAACACUCUCUCACCUCUCCCUGCUCAGUCCAGAACACCAGGCAGGGUAUGUGUAAGCCAGGCAUCAGAGCUCUGCUUGGAGCCCAGACUAGUUAAGCUAAAAUUUUAAUGUAAAAAAUGCAAAGACUCUGAAAAUAAUUCAGGAAGAAAAAAAUAUCAAUAGAGGGCAUAGUAUGUGUAGAUCCUAGUGAGCCCAUGCUCAUCUUAUAGCAGGGAGGAGGAUCAAAAGAAAACAGACGAGGCCUGAGUUCUGAUAAAGUAGCAGGGAGGUAGGGAUGGAAAACCAGGGAGAUAAAACCUGAGGAAUCUGAAUGUGGAGAGGGUCACAUAACACUUGGGAGGGGGAAAGUUACAUAACACUAGGGUAAAGUAGCCUAUAGAAUUGAAUAUAACCAUAUAUGGAUUAGAUCUUGCUUUUUGCUUCUGUAACCUGCUUGCAAGGUGAGACCCCUUCGUUCUCAGGGCUCAGUCUUUGGAUACGAGUCUGCUGGGUCUGUGCCAGCACAAUAAAAUGUUGCUUCCUGCUAAACUGCCUCA